Molecule: non-coding RNA, 1595 nt
Organism: Schizosaccharomyces pombe (fission yeast)
Lineage: Eukaryota; Fungi; Ascomycota; Schizosaccharomycetes; Schizosaccharomycetales; Schizosaccharomycetaceae
Source: the annotation of a GenBank genome assembly
CAAUUUUUUGGUUAUUUGGAAAGGAUACUCUAGUAACUGUGGUACUUAAAAAGUAAGAUAAUCGUAAAUUCAUUAAAGUGUACGAGUACUUCUGUAACUUCUAUCUGGAUUUUCUCUCUCAGUAUAUCUAUCGCUUCUAUGAGAACGUUUUUUAUAUGAAUAACUCCUUCCUUGAUAGUAAUCAUCUGAAUAACGGUCUGUUCGAUGUUGUUUCCGGCGCUCCGAAUGGUAUUCGCGAUACUUAGUUCUGUCUGGAUCUCUAUCGCGUUUGUUGUAAUUUCGUGAAUUAUAAUCUAAAUGUUUACUGCUCACUGAAGACUCUCUUGAGAGGUUGUUAUCUCGGCUUCUUUUUCUGAAUAGUUCUGAACUGGGAGUUAAGUUGUCAAUGGAAUUUGACUUCUUCUGUACUUCAGUAUGUUCGUUUUGUGAAUUCAGAGCGGAAUUUGAUUCUAGAGGCUUAACAGGAAGAAACAUAGUCUUUUUUGGAUUUUUCCAAAUAUCCAGCUCAGUAAGUUCGGAAUCCACAGGCUUGGCUCCCAUACCCAAAAACGUCGGCCUUUGAUUAACAUCAAAAGCAUCUUUAGAAGAUAAUUGACCAUUCCAACCCAUUCCUCGAAGCAUGGCGGCGCCAAAUUCUUCAACCGGAAUUUCCGAGUAAUCUUUCAUAUUAGAAGGCUCCGGAAGCUCGUCAAUGUCUUUUCUAUAUGCAUCUUUCUCGUUAACAACAUUAGUGGUAAUCGGCUGUAAGUUGGCAGAAUUAGCACUUUUAACAUCGUCAUUUAAAUCAUUAAGGACAAGUUGGACUUCUUCAGGAAGAAUAUCAGUACUUUCUUUAUUUGUGGCUAUCUUAUUUUGAGCCUUUUCAUUUGAAUUAUUUGCCUUCCAGUCCACAAUUUCAUUAUCCGCUGCUGAUGAAGAAGCCACCCGAAUAUUUAGACCAUAAUUUAAGCCGCUAUCUGGCAAUUGUGAAGGUUUCUCAUGAACUUCUGUUUCUUUUUUUUUAAACCUGGCUUUUCUUUUUUCCAUCCAGUUCUCAUCACUUGCAAUGUGGAUUAUCUUUGGCGCUCUUUUCUUUUCGUGUAUGCGCUGAAUAGUUUCAUUCUGAUAAUGAACUCCCUCUUCAGCGCUAAAUCCAGUAAUAAGUUGAGGACCUUUUAAUUUUUUUUCAUCUUCAUCCUCAGAAUCGCUGAAUGCUUCUAAUACGGCUUUUCGCUUCAUCAGAGUUAUUAUGAUAACUCACUUGUUUGCGACUAAGCGUAUUACAAUGAACAAAAAAAAUAAAAUGGCAAAAAUCGGCCAGAUUAUAAGUAGGAAGGAAAGUUUAAAAUUACAGUGAAAAUAGUCUUGAGAAUAAUCACAUUCGUACAAUGAGAGUUGUGAAGCUUUUCAGGAAUUUUUCGUUGCCCAGACAUGGAAUAGUGUGUGCUCCCUUUACCUCUUUAUUUGGAUUACAGAAUUCAUGCUCAUUUCUCCCUUACUUAAAACGCACCUUCAAAUAGCAGUAAAAAAAUAGCUUUUUUAUUUAGUGGCAUUUUUUAUUAAUAUAAAAGUAUAAACAAUUUUGGUUGAAACGAAAGCCUACUGUUAAUAUCAAC